AGAAAACAGGGUUAAUUCAAAAUCCAGCAGUAAUGUCUGCCUCUUAGAGAUUUUAGGUGGGAGUGGGUCAGCUAUGAAGUUUGUGGGACAAGGAGAGGCCAUAUUCAUUAACAUGGGAGCAUACUGGAUGUGCUUGUGUGGUGCUGCAUGAUGUGCUUACUGGACAUCGAGUGGCCUACACAGAGCCCUGACCUCAACUCCACUGAACACCUUUGGGAUAAACUGGAAUGCCGACUGCACCCCAGGCUUCCUCGCCCGACAUCAGUGGCUGAGCUCACUAAAGCUCUUGUGGCUGAAUGGGCGAACAGCCACAGAAUGGGAUGCUCAAAAAGCACAUAUGAGUCUAGCACGCGGUGGACUGCAGCCAUAUCCGAGUCAGGCAGAGUGCAUCAACCUCUUCACACCUGCCCCAAACUCAGCCUCUGCCAGAUAAUGAUCUGCUCCCACAGGAACUCACUACUACAGCCAGAAACAUUUCACUCCAACAUAAAACCUGCAAAAAAAAUGAACAAGUGAGUGAGUACUGAUUUAAGUACAGGGCUCUUCUCUCCAUACUGUCCAUACUCAUACUGAUUUAUGCACGCCAAAUUGAGGACUCAUCCAGAAACAAAACUAUCAAUCUAUAAGUUGCCCCAGGACUCAAAAUUUUACUCCCCUGCCUAAAAUUACCUUGGCUAAUGUUACCAUACCAGCGUCUUAGUUAUCCUGCCAAACAUCUGCUGCUCUCCUAUUUCACCUCUCUUACAGCUGAUUAGAGACAAUGCCUUUUUUUUUUUUUAAGCUCUCAGCUCACUACUUACUUUUGCCUAUAUGAUCAAGAAAAGAAUAAAGUGUGUGGUAACAUUUUGGGUGACUGAUGAGUAGCAGUGUGACAUUAGGGGACAUUCAGAAUGGCAGCAAUGCACGAUCCAGCUGGCUGACUGCCAUUGCCAACUGUUUGUGUAUGUUUGUAGUUUGCUGGAACAUGCCAAAAGCGACCUGCACUACAGUACCUGGAGUCUGACCAGCAGAGAGGUCCACUAAGCAUCUCAUUCCAAUCAACCAUUAAAAUAACAUUUACUGAAGGACUGUCAUGGCAGAUAUAUGAGUAGGGAUACUGGGUCUCAUUUGU
Molecule: long non-coding RNA, 1111 nt
Organism: Pangasianodon hypophthalmus (striped catfish)
Lineage: Eukaryota; Metazoa; Chordata; Actinopteri; Siluriformes; Pangasiidae
Exons: 3
Source: RefSeq, a predicted model, not a curated record